AUUGAACGCUGGCGGCAGGCUUAACACAUGCAAGUCGAACGAGUGGCGGACGGGUGAGUAAUGCUUGGGAAUCUGGCUUAUGGAGGGGGAUAACUACGGGAAACUGUAGCUAAUACCGCGUACCAUAGGAUGAGCCCAAGUGGGAUUAGGUAGUUGGUGGGGUAAAGGCUCACCAAGGCGACGAUCUCUAGCUGGUCUGAGAGGAUGACCAGCCACACUGGGACUGAGACACGGCCCAGACUCCUACUGGAGGCAGCAGUGGGGAAUAUUGCGCAAUGGGCGCAACCCUGACGCAGCCAUGCCGCGUGUAUGAUGAAGGCCUUCGGGUUGUAAAGUACUUUCAGUCGGGAGGCGUUACCGACAGAAGAAGCACCGGCUAACUCCGUGCCAGCAGCCGCGGUAAUUC
This 406-nucleotide ribosomal RNA is filed under the name uncultured bacterium. Its description in RNAcentral is "partial 16S ribosomal RNA". It matches the Rfam family "Bacterial small subunit ribosomal RNA", at positions 30 to 526 of the family's 1533-position model. The record is from RNAcentral.